Molecule: ribosomal RNA, 867 nt
Filed under: uncultured bacterium
Lineage: Bacteria
Description: bacterial SSU rRNA
Rfam family: Bacterial small subunit ribosomal RNA
Source: RNAcentral
GUUUGAUCCUGGCUCAGAUUGAACGCUGGCGGUAUGCUUAACACAUGCAAGUCGAACGGCAGCACAGCAGAGCUUGCUCUGUGGGUGGCGAGUGGCGGACGGGUGAGUAAUACAUCGGGACCUACCCAGACGUGGGGGAUAACGUAGGGAAACUUACGCUAAUACCGCAUACGUCCUACGGGAGAAAGCAGGGGAUCUUCGGACCUUGCGCGGUUGGACGGACCGAUGUUCGAUUAGCUUGUUGGUGAGGUAAUGGCUCACCAAGGCGACGAUCGAUAGCUGGUCUGAGAGGAUGAUCAGCCACACUGGGACUGAGACACGGCCCAGACUCCUACGGGAGGCAGCAGUGGGGAAUAUUGGACAAUGGGCGCAAGCCUGAUCCAGCAAUACCGCGUGUGUGAAGAAGGCCUUCGGGUUGUAAAGCACUUUUAUCAGGAACGAAACGCUGUCGGUUAAUACCCGGCGGAACUGACGGUACCUGAGGAAUAAGCACCGGCUAACUUCGUGCCAGCAGCCGCGGUAAUACGAAGGGUGCAAGCGUUAAUCGGAAUUACUGGGCGUAAAGCGUGCGUAGGCGGUUUGUUAAGUCUGUUGUGAAAUCCCCGGGCUCAACCUGGGAAUGGCAAUGGAUACUGGCAAGCUAGAGUGUGAUAGAGGAUGGUGGAAUUCCCGGUGUAGCGAUGAAAUGCGUAGAGAUCGGGAGGAACAUCAGUGGCGAAGGCGGCCAUCUGGAUCAACACUGACGCUGAGGCACGAAAGCGUGGGGAGCAAACAGGAUUAGAUACCCUGGUAGUCCACGCCCUAAACGAUGCGAACUGGAUGUUGGUCUCAACUCGGAGAUCAGUGUCGAAGCUAACGCGUUAAGUU